This 235-nucleotide unclassified non-coding RNA is filed under the name Hevea brasiliensis (rubber tree). Lineage: Eukaryota; Viridiplantae; Streptophyta; Magnoliopsida; Malpighiales; Euphorbiaceae. The record is from RNAcentral.
GUUUGAUUCGGCCCCCAAAGAUGAUUCAUAUCUGUCAUUGAAUCAGCUCACUCCUCAUCCAGAGUAAUAGGUUGGGGUUUAGCUUCCAACUCUGCCAAUGCCUCAGAACUUCUGGCUUCCGACUUCUCAUUUGAAUAAGUGGAUAAUAUGGUGACCCACACCAGCUCCACACAGUCCACCCAUAGAAGCCUCUGCUCGACUGGUACUACACCAUAUGUAAUCAGGUGAGCAAAAG